This 396-nucleotide ribosomal RNA is filed under the name uncultured bacterium. RNAcentral describes it as "partial 16S ribosomal RNA". It matches the Rfam family "Bacterial small subunit ribosomal RNA", at positions 523 to 918 of the family's 1533-position model. The record is from RNAcentral.
AUACGUAGGGAGCGAGCGUUGUCCGGAAUUACUGGGUGUAAAGGGAGCGUAGGCGGGAUCGCCAGUCAGAUGUGAAAUACAUGGGCUUAACCCAUGGGCUGCAUUUGAAACUGUGGUUCUUGAGUGACGUAGAGGUAAGCGGAAUUCCUGGUGUAGCGGUGAAAUGCCUAGUUAUCAGGAGGAACACCGUUGGCGAUGGCGACGUACUGGGCCAUCACUGACGCUAAGGUUCGAAAGCGUGGGGAUAAAACAGGAUUAUAUGCCCCGGUAGUCCACACGGUAAACGAGAAUUCCUAGGUGGCGGUGGACUCACCCCGUCUGCGCCUCAGUCAACACAAUAAGCAUUCCGCCUGGGGAGUACGGCCGCAAGGUUGAAACUCAAAGGAAUGGACGGGG